This 253-nucleotide ribosomal RNA is filed under the name uncultured Pseudomonas sp. RNAcentral's name for it is "partial 16S ribosomal RNA". It matches the Rfam family "Bacterial small subunit ribosomal RNA", at positions 524 to 776 of the family's 1533-position model. Lineage: Bacteria; Pseudomonadati; Pseudomonadota; Gammaproteobacteria; Pseudomonadales; Pseudomonadaceae. The record is from RNAcentral.
UACGAAGGGUGCAAGCGUUAAUCGGAAUUACUGGGCGUAAAGCGCGCGUAGGUGGUUUGUUAAGUUGAAUGUGAAAGCCCCGGGCUCAACCUGGGAACUGCAUCCAAAACUGGCAAGCUAGAGUAUGGCAGAGGGUGGUGGAAUUUCCUGUGUAGCGGUGAAAUGCGUAGAUAUAGGAAGGAACACCAGUGGCGAAGGCGACCACCUGGGCUACUACUGACACUGAGGUGCGAAAGCGUGGGGAGCAAACAGG